Molecule: ribosomal RNA, 29 nt
Filed under: Methylobacterium sp. 32
Lineage: Bacteria; Pseudomonadati; Pseudomonadota; Alphaproteobacteria; Hyphomicrobiales; Methylobacteriaceae
Description: partial 16S ribosomal RNA
Source: RNAcentral
GGGGAACCUGCGGCUGGAUNACCUCCUUU